UGUGUUGAUUUGUGGUUAUUUAAGCAUGUUUAGCCCGCCCAGGUUUGUGCGGGAUUAUUUUAUCGUCAGUGUGCUUGUUUGAUGUGCUGGCGAUCUGCUUGGAUUAUUUUCUUUCCGGACUGUGUGCCGUUGUGUAUGGGUUGGUAAUUUUGUUUCACACGCCUGUUGUGUUGGCGUCGACCGUGUCGUACCAGAGAAAAUAAAUCUCAUUUUUUCUUUACCUCUGCUCUCUGCGCCUGACUCCUACCACCACUCCUAGCAUUCGUGACAGUAUUGGUUUAGUCUUGACUCUUGGUUGAUAGUGUUGGGGGAUGGGUAAUGUAUUGAUGCUUGAGAGCCAAAUCAACACAAAUGGAUAAGAAAAGGUCUAAACCAUCAGGUGCCCAGUUUAGGAAAUAGAGGAAAGAAGAAGAGGAGAAACGUGCAAAAGAUAAAGGGGCACUUCUGAAAUAUUUUGGAGCACCCUCUGGCACUGGCCAGGAUGAGGAGCCAUCCACCUCCUCAGCCACACAGGCCUCUUCAGAAAUGAUCUCAGAGCCUCAGGAUGAGGAGCCAUCCACCUCCUCAGCCACACAGGCCUCUUCAGAAAUGAUCUCAGACCCUCAGGAUGAGGAGCCAUCUACCUCCUCAGCCACACAGGCCUCUUCAGAAAUGAUCUUGGAGCCUCAAGAUGAGGAGCCAUCCACCUCCUCAGCCACACAGGCCUCUUCAUAAAUGAUCUCAGACCCUCAGGAUGAGGAGCCAUCUACCUCCUCAGCCACACAGGCCUCUUCAGAAAUGAUCUUGGAGCCUCAAGAUGAGGAGCCAUCCACCUCCUCAACCACACAGGCCUCUUCAUAAAUGAUCUCAGAGCCUCAGGAUGAGGAGCCAUCCACCUCCUCAGCCACAAAGGUGUCUUCACAAAUGUUAUCUGAGCCUGAGGAUGAGGAUGAAGACCCAUUUGCUUCCACUUCUCUCCAGCAGGAUUCUUCAGAAAUGCCUGUGGCAGCAUCCCCACCAAAUCCUGCUGCUGAGGAUGAACCACUGUCUACAGACCCUGCUGACUGGCCGUCAGUUCUGACUGACAGAAUUCGGACACAACUAGUUUGCAGAGGACCAAGUGAGGUACCACCUAACUUUGUUUUCCCAAGGAAUGGGAGAGUGAUGGAAGAAGUUGCCACCACCAGUAUUUCAGGAAGACCUUGGUGAGUGGUGAAAAAAUCAGUAAAGGUUGGUUGGUGUAUUCUGAAAGAAACAACAGCCUCUUCUGCUUCUGCUACAAACUCUUUUCUAAGAAGAAAAUUAAUUUAGAAAACUCAGGACUGACAGAUUGGAAACAUGCAAGUUCUUUGCUGACUUCACAUGACAGCAGUCCAGAACACCAAAACUGCAUGAAAACAUGGAAAGAACUUGCAAUAAGGAUCUAAAAAGGGGAAACAAUUGAUAAGCAUGAGAUGGCAUUUAUGGAGGCUGAGAGGAUAAGAUGGAGAGAGGUGUUGACACAUCUGACUGCUAUUGUGCAGUCUCUGACAAUUAGAACUCUGGCACUAAGGGGACACACUGAAACACAGUACUCUCCAUCAAAUUGACAUUUCCUCAGAGGUUGAACUGAUGUUACAAUUUGAUCCAGUCAUGAAAGAGCACCUGGGAGAGAAGUUUGGAGUGCUGUCAACCUUCCAAAGUCUCUCAAAUGAGGAGCUGACAGAACAAUGUGAGGCCCUUAGUAUGACACUGCAGUAUAAAGAACACUCAGACUUGGAUGGCAGAGAGCUUGCACAGGAACUGAAGAAGUUGCCUGACUUGCUAUCGAAGACCAUGACCCUGCCUGAGCUGCUGAUAUUUAUACACGAAAGGGAGCUCUCAGAAAUGUAUCCAAAUUUGUUGACUGCUCUCAGAAUGUGUCUUACCCUUCCAAUGACCGUAGCUGAAGCAGAGAGGAGCUUUUCAAAGCUGAAGCUCAUCAAAUCCUACCUGAGGUCCACCAUGUCACAGGAACGCCUUAGUGGCCUUGCUGUCAUCAGUAUUAACCAUGCAAUUGCUGGGCAGAUUUCUUAUGAUGAUGUAAUUGAUGACUUUGCGUCAAGGAAGACAAGAAAGGUCAGAGUUUAGAUGGCAGUUGUGCAAUUUAGUUUGUGUGUUUCUUGUUUGAAGUUGCAAUAGUACAAUAAUCAGGUUAUCUUCUUUAUAAGUGUGCUAUUCUAUUUGUGUAAUAUAGAUUUGUACAAUUUAGAUUUAUUUGUGUUUUUUAUUAGCAAUAGGGUAAUAGUGUAAUAAUUUGAUUCUCUUUUACAUUUGUAUUUAUAUACUACAAUUUGUUUCUAUUUGUCUUUGUUACUUUUUUUCUAUUUAUGAGUUAUU
Molecule: non-coding RNA, 2337 nt
Organism: Salmo salar (Atlantic salmon)
Lineage: Eukaryota; Metazoa; Chordata; Actinopteri; Salmoniformes; Salmonidae
Source: RefSeq, a predicted model, not a curated record